GCGGCUGUAGCUCAGCUGGAUAGAGUACCUGACUACGAAUCAGGUGGUCGGAGGUUCGACUCCUUCCAGCCGCGCCA
RNAcentral lists this transfer RNA (77 nucleotides) under Bdellovibrionales bacterium. RNAcentral describes it as "tRNA-Arg". It matches the Rfam family "tRNA". From Rfam's summary of the family: Transfer RNA (tRNA) molecules are approximately 80 nucleotides in length. Their secondary structure includes four short double-helical elements and three loops (D, anti-codon, and T loops). Further hydrogen bonds mediate the characteristic L-shaped molecular structure. tRNAs have two regions of fundamental functional importance: the anti-codon, which is responsible for specific mRNA codon recognition, and the 3' end, to which the tRNAs corresponding amino acid is attached (by aminoacyl-tRNA synthetases). tRNAs cope with the degeneracy of the genetic code in two manners: having more than one tRNA (with a specific anti-codon) for a particular amino acid; and 'wobble' base-pairing, i.e. permitting non-standard base-pairing at the 3rd anti-codon position. The record is from RNAcentral. Lineage: Bacteria; Pseudomonadati; Bdellovibrionota; Bdellovibrionia; Bdellovibrionales.